RNAcentral lists this ribosomal RNA (562 nucleotides) under uncultured bacterium. RNAcentral describes it as "bacterial SSU rRNA". It matches the Rfam family "Bacterial small subunit ribosomal RNA", at positions 102 to 674 of the family's 1533-position model. The record is from RNAcentral.
AAGGGAGAGGAACACGUGGAUACGUACCCUUGGGUUCAGGAUAGCCAUGGGAAACUAUGGGUAAUACUGAAUAACAUCUCCGGAUCAAAGGUGAGAUUCCGCCCAGGGAGCGGUCCGCGUCCUAUUAGCUAGUUGGUGGGGUAACGGCCUACCAAGGCGAAGAUGGGUACGAGAUGUGAGAGCAUGAUCUCGCUCAUUGGGACUGAGACACUGCCCAGACACCUACGGGUGGCUGCAGUCGAGAAUCUUCGGCAAUGGGGGAAACCCUGACCGAGCGACGCCGCGUGUGAGAUGAAGGCCUUCGGGUUGUAAAUCACUGUCGUAGGGGAGGAAGUGCUGGUGGGUUCUCCCAUCAGUUUGACCUAUCCUAGGAGGAAGGACGGGCUAAGUUCGUGCCAGCAGCCGCGGUAAGACGGACCGUCCAAACGUUAUUCGGAAUCACUGGGCUUAAAGGGUGCGUAGGCGGCCUGGAAAGUUGGGUGUGAAAUACCUCGGCUCAACCGAGGAACUGCGCUCAAAACUGCCGGGCUUGAGGGAGAUAUAGGUGAGCGGAACUUAGGGU